Long non-coding RNA from Cynoglossus semilaevis (tongue sole), 2485 nucleotides. RefSeq lists it as uncharacterized. The record is from RefSeq and is a predicted model, not a curated record. The transcript is spliced from 6 exons. NCBI's taxonomy places the organism in Eukaryota, Metazoa, Chordata, Actinopteri, Pleuronectiformes, Cynoglossidae.
UCAUUCAACCUGCAGCUGCUUGUGUUCGUCCUCGGGAGAAAACUGUGGUAGAAUCAGCAGUCGCUGCUCUGGUUCUGCUGCAUCUGCUCUUUAAUUCUGUCCAGCACCUCCUGCAUCCUCCUGAGCUACAGAGGAGGAAGACGUUCAGAGAGCAGCGCGUCCCCGAGGCCUGGCGUGUCAACGAUGGUGAGCCUCAGUUUGAUUCCCUUCUCUUCAAUGCUGACGCUGUGUCUGAUGAUGUCGACUGUUUGACCGAUCCUUUCUGCAGAAGGAGCACGACUGAAAGGCAGGAGGAAGAUCUCUCAUGGCAAAAGGGAACUGAGUGUCUUCUUGGUCUUCGAUGGACAGACUUGACCCCUGGAAGAGGACACUGCUCAGAAGAACAAUUCACAAGAACAACACUGAAGAGAUUGAAAAGUAGUUGAAUUAUGAUGGCAUUUCAAGGCUGAUACUGAAGGAGAAAACAUAGAUAAGAUGAGGAAAUUAGACAGUUAGGUCAGUGGUUCGUGUGUGUACUGUCAGAAGUCUGACAGUUUUACUCAGUUGGUCUAAAAACUAUAAUAAAUUUAAUGCAAUUAUUUGUCUUUGGUCAUCUGACAGUGACAUGCAGAACAAUUAAAUAGCCAUCCGCUAGGUGGCAGCAAAUGGUAAUUAAAACCAUAAGAGACUGAGGGCUGUUGAAGAUCUUAAUGAAUGUUUUUCUUGACCUCACAUGUAUGCUGUAUGUGUUUUGGUCAGAGGGAAUCAAACCUUCACACUUUCAUCUACUGUAAAGAUUCACGGUGUCCUCAUACUACACUGUGAGUCUACAUGCACAAUAGUACAGCCUGUAGUCAUGUAGCUGCAGGAGGCACUGACACUGUUUGGAAUCCCUGUCCCUGUCAGGUCACAUUACCCAUAAGGCUUUGCAGUAGGUUUUAUCCAGCUUAUUAAGUUAAGGAGGGGUAGGACGGUGGAGAUUAAAGUCUUAAACACACACAAAGACACACACAAACAAUACUUGAUAUUUAUAUUUUAUAAACGUGCCGUACCUCCUUAUCUGAAAAAGUUGCAGCUUUGCCAAGGAUGGUGUAAAAAAAAAAAUAUGGAAGAAACAAUUGUUAAUAAAUAGAUCCGUGCAGACUUUUAUAAGCUGAAAAAAAUAGAGCUUGAACCUUUAAACAACCCCUUCCUUAAAAGCUAACCUAAUAAAUAUAAAAGACAAAAGGUGUACCAUUUCUUAGAAGAUAUAUGAUCCUAAAAUGACUGAGUAAAGAUUAGAAAUGAUUUAUAACUCUUAAAGCAUCACUGAAGCAAGCGUUCAAUGUUGUGUCUUCAUGAAAGCAGGUGCUCAGGGUUCACGACGUACCAGUUUUGUUGCUGUUGCGGAACCGGACCGGGGUGGACAUGUGCUCCAUGGCUUCUUAGAAUCUCCACGAACCAAAACAGCAGUCAAUGAGAAACACUGUCACUCUGUCAGUACUUUACUGGGAUAGAGCUUCAUAGAUGGACGUAAAAACUACAAUGAGCCAUAUGGCGUGGUGUGUCAGUCCAUGCUGAUCCCUUCAUACAGCACACAGACAGCAGCUACACAUGGAUUUAUACAGGAGCCUGAGCCUGCAGGAAACCAGACCAGGAUUGUAUGGCUGUAGGAAAUAAAAUAUCACAUGUGACAUGGUUAUUAUUUAAAUCAUUUGGUCUACUUUUUGGUCUUUAUUUUGUUGUCAAAACUGUAAAACGUAAAAAACAUUAUAUAAAAUUAUAUUUAAUUCUGUUAACUAAAGGAUUAUACUUAUAUAGUUAUUUUUCUUUAAAAUUACACCCAGCAAAGACAUGGCUUCUCUCUGUUCAUUUUCCUCCGAGCAAGUAUCGGAUAUCAACUGUUACUGACACCUACUGGUGAGACUGCAAGUUACAAUCACGUGUUACCGCGUUUACACGUCUAUUUCUCAAUUAAGUUAAUUGAAUUAACCGCUGAGUAACUGGAGGAGAACACACACGUGUGCAGGCGUACCGUUUGUCAGCGUCCAUGUCACAGCAGAGCGCAGCCAGUGGCAGGAAGGUGGAGGGACAUUGUGGUCUGUGGUACUGCUGCAUAAAACUAACCACAUCUAACCCAAAGUCAUUCGUGCGAGGUUAUGUUUUCCUGAGCCCUCGUGCACUCACCACGGAUCAUCUCUGGGGCCAUCCAGUAUGGGUUCCCUACCACAGUGUAGCGCUUCCUCCUGUUCGGCCUGUGCAGCUCCGACAGCGGCCUCUUCACAGGCUGCUCCAGUGACGAUGUCUUGCUCUGAGUCUUCUCCUCCAUCACCAGCCUGGCCAGUCCAAAAUCUGCCACCACCACUGACUGGUUCUAUAAAAACAAACAGGCCUUGGAUGCGAUGCUAAGACUUACCUCGUCUGGAGGAAUGUUAUAAACUGGAACACCAUUGACCUCCAGUACUCGAUCGCCAGUGUGGAUGGAGGACAGCAGGUCUGGACUGAGGACGGCCAUGUCCAACCUUAG